This 13948-nucleotide long non-coding RNA is filed under the name Triticum aestivum (bread wheat). Its description in RNAcentral is "long non-coding RNA (TAES_LNC006648)". Lineage: Eukaryota; Viridiplantae; Streptophyta; Magnoliopsida; Poales; Poaceae. The record is from RNAcentral.
AAGGAUAAACAACUAGAUAGUCAGAUCCCACACAUACCAAGCAUUUCAAUCAUACACACAAUAUGCUCGAUAUGUGCAAAUACAACAUGUUAUCACAACUUGACUCUACAACUCAAGUACUUUAUUUAAAGGCUCAGAGAGCCAUACAUAUCAUACACGCAAGUACGGGUCACACGACCCAGCAUUCAAGUCAUACAAACAUACAAGCCAACAGCAGAAGUAACUUGUCUGAAUACAGACAACUAGGAAAUAAAAGAGGCUUGAGAAAGCCUGACUAUACACACGGUCCAUCAUGAGCUCAGGAUCACCACCUGGGCUUCAGCCUACUCGUCGACAUCGACGUCUAUGAAGAACCCAUCAGAAGGAGUUGCAGUGUCUUCUGUAAAACGUAAAUUAAGCAACAUGAGUACAAAGGUACUCAGCAAGACUUACAUUAGAAUCUACAUACAUGCACAUUAUAAAGAAGGGUUGGUGGGGUUAUUGCAGCAAGCUAGCUUUGACUCUUGUCUAAGCUAUCCUACGAGACUCCAACUUGAAAUUGUUUUGCGCACACGAGUCCACUACACACCACUUCAAUACACUAUCGAGGAUCCACCUCCAUCAUCCUACGGAAGAGCCAUCCUCGGCACUCACGCUUAUCUUGAGGCUUUUAGUAGUAUUCAUUUACUUGUCUAUGAACUAUAUAGGCAACCAAGUAGUGCUUUACCACGGACGCGGCUAUUCAAAUAGAUGAUGUUAACCCUGCAGGGGUGUACUUCUUCAUACAUGUUUCCACCACUUCGCGUCUGCACAUGACAUGUGCUUGGCAGACUUCAAGCGAAAGCCGAUGUGAGUGUAGACCACAACCUACCUAAACACCUAAGUCUUUAGUCCAGGUUUAUCGCCUAUUCAGGUUCCAUCCGCAGGGAGUCCAGCCGAGGUUUCCACAUACGGCCCUGAAUGAUGUGUGCAGGGUUCCCGAGAUACCAAACGGGCAUCCGGUACACUGUGCCACGUACCUACCACAUCACAGCCCACCCCGCGAGUGAGCUGCCCACGGCCUCCAGUAAGCUACAAACACCAGAAACUACUUGCAACUCCUGGACAGAGGACUAGGGUGGAUAAGAAGUCAAGCAAGUCAAUUAAGGAUCCCAAUGUAUGGUAGUAGCUGAUUCUUAAAUCACAUAUACAGAUCUCGGUGCUUAAGAACAGUUCGAAUGAAACAACCCAUCAUGUACUCCUACAUGGCCUCUCAUCGAUACCUUUACCAAAUCGUGUUCAACACAUCACUCUCAUUACCGACAUGAUCAUUUCACUCUAGCCCAUCACCCAGAUGAACCAGACCUAACACGACUCUAAGCACAGCAGGCAUAGCAAGGUAGGAAACACAUACACAUGGCUCAAUCAACACCUACACAUGCUAGUGGGUUUCAUCUAGUUACUGUGGCAAUGACAGGUCAUGCAGAGAAAAUGGGUUCAACUAUCGUAGCACACAGUAGUUUGAAUCACGUUGUCUUAAUGCAGUAAAAGAGAGCAGAGGCGAGAACAUGGGAUUGUAUCGAUAUGAUCAAAUGGUUGGUUGCUUGCCUUGCGGGUCCGUGGACUGGUAGUGCUCCUCGUUAGGAUAUUCGCGAUACUCCUCGAGGGCAGAACCUGCCGCAGAGAGCACCGAUAUACAAUCAUCACCAAACAAUGUGCAACAAUAUGAUGCAUGCAUGAGACAUGGCAAAAUGAGUGUAUUGGGCUAAUGCAACUAAGACCAGAUGGGUUUGGACCAUUUUGAGUCAAAGAUUCAAGUUCCAAGCUCACAUAUGGCCCUUAAUAGUGAUUUAUCAUGUUCUGCACUAAACAGCAGGUUAACUUGCUUAAACAUGCAUGAAACCAGUAUAGAUGGAUAGAUUGGAUUUUUAUGAUCAUUUUUCAUAUAUAACACUUUGCAUUUGGAGCUACAGAUUAAUUUCUAUGAUCUUUUGAAGUUUGUAGUAUUUUCUGGAAUUUCCUAUAUAAGAAUAAUUCCAGUAAUUGAGUUAUUGCGUCAGCAUUGCGUCAGGGUGAUGUCAGCGGUCAAUGGGGAUGGUCCAGGUCAAACCUGACCAGUGGGUCCCGCGUGUCAGUGUCAUUAGGCUAACUAAUUUUAGUUAGUGCUAAUCCUAGGUUAAUUAGCAGAGCGGGCCCCACCUGUCAUUGACCCAGGGGGGUCAAACUGGGUCAGCAGGAUCAAACUUGCCGGCGAGGCCAAACGCGGCGGGGUGGUGCGGGUUUUGUGCUCCGGCGACCAAAAGGGCAGCGAAGGGCAUCUACGUGACGCUGAAGAUGAGCUGCAUCCAGUGGUGGUGGUGGUUGGGCUUGGGGUCGCCGGAAACGGCCCCGAUGAUGACCUUGGCGGCUGAUGGAGCUAGGGUGAGCUCGGGCUCGUCCCUAGGAGGCACGGCGAAGAGCGUGGAGUGGUGCGAUGAGCUCCUGGGGUGCGGUAAGGUCAACGGGCAGGGUGGCGUGGCCGUUGCGUGGCCAGAGUCACAUCGGCGACGAGCUCAGCGGCAACGCGUGCGGGUGAGCUUCGUGCAGUCGCUAUGGUGCUCGAGAGAGAAAAGGGAGAAGAUGGGGAGGUAGCCAGGCUCACGGUGGUCACGGCGGAGCAGAUGGCGAGGUCGGGGAUGAGCUGCUGCGACGAUGACGGCGAAAGGGAUCUCCGGCGACGGUCGGUGAAGUCGGGGUUGGUGGAGGCAGUGCAGAGCGUGCGAGCGCUCGGGGCUCGGCUAGCUCGAUGGAGCGGACGACGGCGGAGCUCGUGGACACGGUGGAGCGGCGCGAGGACGACGGUGGGUGCGGCUACGACGACGGGACGGUGGCGGCAGCUUCAGCCAUGGCGGAUGAGGGCGAGAGAGAGAGGACGGGGGGAGUGGGGUGUCCAAGGGCUCGGGACGGCCCCGAGGAGGCCCUUCGAGGCGUCGCGCUGGCGCGGGCGACGCAGGCAGGCAGGGAGGUGGCGUGGCGAGCUCGGCGGCGUCGUGUUGUCCCUCCUCUGCCUACUAGCAGAGGUAGGUGGUGACUGGCAUGGGCCGGAUGGGCCGGCCCAGCCAGGUAAGUGGCCUCUGGCCUUUCUCUCUCUCUCCUUUUUCAUUCAAUUUGCUUUUCUAUUUUUCUGUAAAUGUUGGGCUUUAUUAAAAAUACUAAAACAUUUCCAAAAAUUCUGCAAAUAAUUGUGGGCUCUGUUGGGAUUAUUCCUAACAGCCUGCACGUAAAUCCAGAAUUAUUUGGGCAUUUGGAUUAUUUUAUAGCAUUUAAAUGCCCAAAUGCAAAUAGAUAAAGAAUUAAUCCAGUGACCUUAAGUGUCCUAAAAAAUGUGAACCAUUUUUAGCAGAGGUUCUGGACCAAGGCAAAAAUGAUGGACAUUUUAGAAGGGUAUUUCAGGUUCAUUAAAAUUAUUUUUAGUAAACCCUAGUUGGUUUCAGGGGGGCUGGGGGUUCUGUCAUCCCCAUUUCCAGUUUCUGAUGAAAGGUAAACAUGACGCAGCACUCUAAUGCAUUAACUAGCUAGAGUGUGACAACUCACCCCCACUCAGAAAAAUCUCAUCCCGAGAUUUAGGAUCCUCCGGAAAGAAGGCGGGAUACUCGAGUCGAAGACGAUCCUCCCUUUCCCAGGUUACUUCUUUCUUAGAAUGGUGCGACCAUUGAACCUUGAGAAAAUUGAUAUUAUGACGUCGAGUGGUACGCUCGGCUUGAUUGAGGAUACGAACGGGGUAUUCUCGAUACGUGAGAUUAUCUUGAAGAUCAAGCGUUUCGUGGUCCACUCCACGGAUAGGAUCCGAGAAGCGAAGGUAAGCCUUCUCGUCAACCUCAAAAGUCAUAGCCUUAUGUUUUCGGUCAUAUUGGCUCUUUUGACGAGAUUGGGCUAUUUUCAACUUUUCACGAACGAUGCAAACUUGCUCUUCUGCUUCCUGGAUCAUAUCCGGGCCAAAGAAUUGUCUUUUCCCGGUUUUUGACCAGUUAAGAGGCGUUCGACACCUUCGUCCAUAGAGAACUUAAAAAGGGGCUUUACCCAAGCUAGAUUGAUAGAUGUUGUUAUAAGCAAAUUCGGCAAAUGGAAGGCAUUUCUCCCAAUCCAUUCCGAAUGAGAUAACACAAGCUCGAAGCAUGUCUUCUAAAAUCUGGUUGAUGCAUUCUACUUGACCACUUGAUUGGGGGUGGAAGGCGGUGCUAAAGGAUAGACGGGUUCCCAUAGCAUUUUGGAAACUUUCCCAAAAUCGAGAGGUGAAGAGACGUCCUCGAUCUGAGUUGAUUUCCAGUGGAACACCAUGGAGGAACACUAUCAGGGAGAUAUACAAGUCUGCUAGCUGACUAGCGGUUAUACUCUCAUGAACAGGCAAGAAAUGAGCCACUUUGGAAAGACGAUCGAUAACGACAAAGAUAGCGUUAUUCCCUUUCUUGGUCCUAGAAAAACCGGUGAUGAAAUCCAUACCAAUUUUAUCCCAUUUCCAUUCAGGAAUAGCUAAAGGUUGAAGGGUGCCAGCAGGUCGUUGAUGCUCUACUUUUACACGAUGGUAGACGUCGCAAUUAGCAACAAACUGAGCAAUGUCUCUCUUCAUCCUAGUCCAUCAGAACCUCUGCCAUAGGUCCUGAUACAUUUUAGUGCUACCGGGAUGAAUGGUGAGAGGAGACUCAUGAGCUUCCUUAAAGAUCAACUAUCGUAGGUGUCGCUUCUUGGGAACCACUAAACAGUUUUCGAAGUAUACGACAUCUUGACCAUUCACGGAGAAACAUGUAGCAACUCCGCUAGCAAUGUUCUCCUUGAUCCGAGAUAUCCCCUUGUCAUACCGCUGAGCGGUUAUGAUAUGAUCCAUAAGGGUAGGUUUUGCCACCAAGGUGGAAAGGAAUCCUUGAGGAACAAUGUGAAGGUUAAGCUUUCGAAAUUCCUCAUGAAGAAGUGGUUGACUUUGUUGUAACAUCAAAUUGUUACAAUAAGAUUUAUGACUUAGUGCAUCAGCUAUGACAUUGGCUUUUCCUGGGGUGUAAGUUAUCCCUAAGUCGAAAUCUGUGAACAACUCGACCCAACAUUUUUGCCUGAGAUUCAAAUCCGGUUGGGUGAAUAUAUACUUCAGACUUUGAUGAUCGGUGAAGAUUUCGCAACGAUAACCGAGGAGGUAAUGUCGCCAGGUUUUGAGUGCAUGGGCUACAGCUGCAAGCUCUAGAUCAUGUGUAGGAUAAUUUUCCUUAUGUGGGUGCAAUUGCCGUGAAGCAUAAGCAAUUACGUGACGAUCUUGCAUGAGAAUGCAACUUAGUCCUUGUUGCGAGGCGUCGCAAUAGAUAACAAAGUCCUUGGAGAAGUCUGGUGGUACCAGUACGGGAGCAGAUGUUAGGCAUCUUUUCAGUUCCUGAAAACUGUGCUCGCAUUAUGGGGUCCACUCGAACUUUUUAUCUUUCUUGAGAAGUUCAGUUAGAGGUUUCGCAACCUUGGAGAAGUUCUCGACAAAGCGGCGACAAUAGCUUGCUAAGCCAAGAAAACUCCUAACUUGCUUGACCAAUUCAGGUAGAGUCCAAUUAAGAAUGACUUGAACUCGCUCGGGAUUGACAGCAAUACCCUUACCAAAGAUUACAUGGCCUAGAUAGGUCACUUCUGGCAACCAAAAUUCACAUUUAGAGAAUUUGGCAUAAAGGCGAUGCUCUCGAAAUUUCAUCAACACUAGCCUUAGAUGCUCGGCAUGUUCUUCCUCGUUCUUGGAGUAGAUGAGUAUAUCAUCGAGGUAAACCACAACGAAUUUAUCCAAGUACUCCAUGAAGAUUGAGUUCAUUAACCGAGAGAAAGUGGUUGGGGCGUUGGUUAAACCGAAGGACAUGACAGUGUACUCGUAUUGGCCAUGACGAGUAACAAAGGCCGUUUUAGGGAUGUCCCCAUUCUUGAUUUUGAUUUAAUGGUAGCCCAACCUCAAAUCCAUCUUAGGGAAGACUGAGGAUCCAGCGAGCUGAUCAUACAGGUCGUUGAUCCUGGGGAGCGGAUACUUGUUCUUUAUUGUGACCAAGUUAACGGGUCGAUAAUCUACAACCAUCCGAUCCGUACCAUUCUUCUUCUUAACGAAGAGGACGGGACAAGCCCAUGGAGACGAACUAGGACGGAUGAAACCCUUUUUCAAGGACUCAUCGAGUUGUUUCUUAAGCUCGACUAGUUCUGGUGGUGCCAUCUUAUAGGGUCUUAUAGAAAUUGAGACAGUUCCUGGAAUAAGAUCUAUCACGAACUCGACAUCUCUGUCAGGUGGAACACCUGGCAAUUCUUCUGGAAAGACAUCCGGAAAGUCACGGACUACCGGAACGUCUUCGAGGUCUGGCAAAGGACUGGCAUUAAGAGAAUAUAGCUGUCGCUUGGCUACUCGAGUCAAGACAUUGACUAUCUUUCCCGAAGGAUGUGUAAGUUGAACAGUUCUAGAGAAGCAAUCAAUCUUAGCAUGAUAUGCUAACAUCCAGUCCAUACCCAAGAUGAUAUUAAUAUCCGAGGAUUUUAGAGCUAUCAAAGACGCAAGAAAAACAAGUUUGUCAACCUGAAUUUCAUUUCCAUGGCCCACUCUAGAAGUCUGCCAUUUGAAUCCCGGGGUUUGAAUUACCAUGGAGGUGGGCAUAUCACAAAAUGUGGUGUUAUGCAGACGAGCAUAGCUCUUAGAUAUAAAUGAAUGAGAUGCUUCAGUAUCAAAAAUAACAGAUGCCGGAUGGCAAUUAACAAGGAGCGUACCAAGAACGACGUUAGGAUCCUCCUGAGCCUCUUCAGCUGAGACACAGUUCACAUGGUCACGUGCAGCGGUGGCCGGCUUAGCGUAGUACACCUUCCCUGUUGGCUUGCCACGGCCAACAGCCUUUCCAGACUGGUUGGGGUUGGUCUGGGGACACUCUCGCAUGUAGUGGCCUGGUUCCCCACACUUGAAGCACGUCACAGAGCUGGUGCGUGGAGGUGUAUUGCUGGUUGGUCCACCAUAGGGCUUGGCUGGUGCAUACUGCUGGGCUGGGCGAGGCGCCUGAUAGGAUGGUCUUGGUGUGAACCUGGGUGGCAGGGCAGUGUUAGGCACCCACACCCGGCGCUUUUGAGGGCCAGAACUGGAUGAGGAACCCAUGUCACGGCCAUGCUUGCAUGUCGCUUCGAAAUCAGUCUGACCUGUCUCAGCACUGAUGGCCUUGUUCACAAGCUUCUGGAAGGAGGUCCACUCGUGCAGACGGAGGUCACGACAAAGCUGAGCUCGGGGCUAAGUCCCUUACGGAACCUUGCCUGCUUCUUGUCAUCAGUGAAAACUUCCUCAGUUGCAUAACGUGCUAGGUUACCGAACUCCCUGCUGUAUGCAUCCACAGAGAGUACCUUGGGUGAAACUGCAGAACUCCUCACGCUUGCGAUCCAUAAGACUCUCCAAAAUGUGAUGUUCACAGAAAGCCUCACUGAAUUCUACCCAAGUAGUGACCUGGCCAGCUGGGCGCAUGGCCUCAUAGUUCUCCCACCAGAGACUGGCGGGGCCUUCAAGAUGAUAGGCAACAAAAGUGACCUUAUCAGCCUCAGCUACGAGUGCGGAACGUAGCUUGUGGGUAAUGCUACGAAGCCAAUCAUUGGCGUUGAGGGGCUCGACGGAGUGAUAGAAGGUGGGUGGAUGUAACUUGAUGAAGUCACUGAGCGACACCAAGUUAUUCCUCUGAUGCAGUGAUGUGUUCUGUUCGAUGCGUUCCAACAAACGGAUGGUCUCCCAUUUGUUCCUCCCGGCCUCCAGCAUGACCUCAGCCAGAGAAGGAGGAUGAGGCAAGUUCGCAUCUCUAGCUCCACUGCCUUCAGCCUGCUCCGGGGGGAGCAGGGUUGUUGUGGGUAUUGACCAUCCUAAGAAAACAAGACAAUGCUUUAGUCCAGAAUGGUAAGAUUUUGACAUAAAAAUGCAGAAUGUAAGGGAUAACUCGAAAUGCAAGAUGAUCAUCCGUAUGACAUGGUAAAUACAGAAACUGCUACACUUAUUCCAUCGUCAUACACACCAUACAAGGUUUAGUACAAGACCAAACGAAGUACAACUGCGAUGAAAGGAAGAUUACAUCUUAUCGGAGGCAUCCCAAGCUCCUAUACAUUAUAUUUCUACACCUCCAAAAAGUGGUACCAUCAGCUCAGUCAUAUCCCACAAUCACGCAGGACGGUGGACGAUAUAACUGUUACAAUACUAGUGGUGCUACCAUCAGCUCAAACAUCUCCGUAGUAAUCUUCGUAGAGAUUACCCCCAUGUCCUGGAAGCUGGACGUGAUCAUCUGGAAACAGUCGAUCCUGUGGAGCCUGCAGUCCAUAGGGACACAGAUGUGGCCUGGGACCAACAAAUGGUGACAGAAGAGGUCCAUGGGGAGGAGUGAUGCCCCCUACAUCACGACAAUCCAUAUGAUCCAGCAGACUAGACCGCACGGGGUACAGAUCCCGCAUAUCCAUAUACCCAGCCUGCACAGCAGGUGCAAACCGGGUCAAAGUGUCCCAGUGAUCAGACCGGGAGUUGAAAAGCUCCAAUCGCAAGGCACGAUUUUCACGGUCCUUAUCCUCAAGCAUCUGUGCGGUAGUGCGAAGUAGCGAGUCCUCAUGAUGAGAGUCGGUGUAAAUAGCUGUGAAAUAACCUUCUGCCCCAGGGAGUGACGCUGGCAUAUAGCGGAAGUCAGUGUUCCAAAGCAAGCCAGUUCUAGCCCGCAUAAUAGUCAUCAUUGAAUAGACACUCAACAACAUCAUAUCAAGAUUUUGAGACACUUUGCAAAGGAUUGCAUAGACACUAACAACAUCAUAUCAAGAUUCUGAAUCCAUUUUAGCAACAUAAUGGGGUAGUAGAACUGAACUAGGCUUGUAUCCAUCAAUCAUAUAAGGUACUACUGAUUAGUAACACGUGAACAUGAGAGAAAGUGGUUGGGGCAUUGGUUAAACCGAAGGACAUGACAGUGUACUCGUAUUGGCCAUGACGAGUAACAAAGGCCGUUUUAGAGAUGUCCCCAUUCUUGAUUUUGAUUUAAUGGUAGCCCAACCUCAAAUCCAUCUUAGAGAAGACUGAGGAUCCAGCGAGCUGAUCAUAUAGGUCGUUGAUCCUGGGGAGCGGAUACUUGUUCUUUAUUGUGACCAAGUUAACGGGUCGAUAAUCUACAACCAUCCGAUCCGUACCAUCCUUCUUCUUGACGAAAAGGACGGGACAAGCCCAUGGAGACGAACUAGGACGGAUGAAAUCCUUUUUCAAGGACUCAUCGAGUUGUUUCUUAAGCUCGGCUAGUUCUGGUGGUGCCAUCUUAUAGGGUCUUAUAGAAAUUGGGACAGUUCCUGAAAUAAGAUCUAUCACGAACUCGACAUCUCUGUCAGAUGGAACACCUGGCAAUUCUUCUGGAAAGACAUCCGAAAAGUCACGGACUACCGGAACGUCUUCGAGGUCUGGCAAAGGACUGGCAUUAAGAGAAUAUAGCUGUCGCUUGGCUACUCGGGUCAAGACAUUGACUAUCUUUCCCGAAGGAUGUGUAAGUUGAACAGUUCUAGAGAAGCAAUCAAUCUUAGCAUGAUAUGCUAACAUCCAGUUCAUACCCAAGAUGAUAUUAAUAUCCGAGGAUUUUAGAGCUAUCAAAGACGCAAGAAAAACAAGUUUGUCGACCUAAAUUUCAUUUCGAUGACCCCAACCACGGGUCAGUGCUGCCCACGGCCUCCAGUAAGCUACAAACACCAGAAACUACUUGCAACUCCUGGACAGAGGACUAGGGUGGAUAAGAAGUCGAGCGAGUCAAUUAAGGAUCCCAAUGUAUGGUAGUAGCUGAUUCUUAAAUCACAUAUACAUAUCUCGGUGCUUAAGGACGGUUCCAAUGAAACAACCCACCAUGUACUCCUACAUGGCCUCUCAUUGAUACCUUUACCAAAUCGUGUUUAACACAUCACUCUUAUUACCGAUAUGAUCAUUUCACUCUAGCCCAUCACCCAGAUGAACUAGACUUGACACGACUCUAAACAUAGAAGCCAUAGCAAGGUAGGAAACACAUACACAUGGCUCAAUCAACUCCUACACAUGCUAGUGGAUUUCAUCUAAUUACUGUAGCAAUGACAGGUCAUGCAGAAAAAAUGGGUUCAACUACCGUAGCACACAGCAGUUCGAAUCGUGUUAUCUUAAUGUAGUAAAAAAGAGCAGAGGCGAGAACAUGGGAUUGUAUCGAUAUGAUCAAAUGGUUGGUUGCUUGCCUUACGGGUCCGUGGACUAGUAAUGCUCCUUGUUAGGAUAUUCGCGAUACUCUACGGGGCAGAACCUGCCGCAAAGAGCACCGAUAUACAAUCAUCACCAAACAAUGUGCAACAAUAUGAUGCAUGCAUGAGACAUGGAAAAAUGAGUGUAUUGGACUAAUGCAACUAAGACCAGAUGGGUUUGGACCAUUUUGAAUCAAAGAUUCAAGUUCCAAGCUCACAUAUGGUUCUUAAUAGUGCUUUAUCAUGUUCUGCACUAAACAGUAGGUUAACUUGCUUAAACAUGCAUGAAAACAGUACAGAUGGAUAGAUUAGAUUUUUCUGAUCAUUUUUCAUAUAUAACACUUUGCAUUUGGAGAUACAGAUUAAUUUCUAUGAUUUUUUGAAGUUGUAGUAUUUUCUAGAAUUUCUUGUAUAAGAAUAAUUCCAGUGAUUGAGUUAUUGCAUCAGGGUGACAUCAGCGGUCAACGGGGACGGUCCAGGUCAAACCUGACCAGUGGGUCCCGCGUGUCAGUGUCAUUAGGCUAACUAAUUUUAGUUAGUGCUAAUCCUAGGUUAAUUAACAGAGUGGGCCCCACCUGUCAUUGACCCAGGGGGGUCAAACUGGGCCCACCCGAGGUCAAACUGGGUCAGCGGGGUUAAACUCGCCGGCGUUUAGCCGCCGGCGAGGCCAAACGCGGCGGGGUAGUGCGGUUUUUGUGCUCCGGCGACCAAAAGGGCGGCGAAGGGCAUCUACGUGACGCUGGAGAUGAGCCGCAUCUAGUGGUGGUUGGGCUUGGGGUCGCCGGAAAUGGCACCGACGAUGACCUUGGCGGCUGCCGGAGCUCGAGUGAGCUCGGGCUCGUCGCUAGGAUGCACGGCGAGGAGCGUGGAGUGGUGCGGUGAGCUCCUGGGGGUGCGGUAAGGUUAACGAGCAGGGUGGCGUGGCCGUUGCGUGGCCGGAGUCACGUCGGCGAUGAGCUCAGCGGCGACGCGUGCGGGUGAGCGUCAUGUAGUCGCUACGGUGCUUGAGAGAGAAAACAGAGAGGAUGGGGAGGUAGCCAGGCUCACGGUUGUCACGGCGGAGCAGACGGCGAGGUCGGGGAUGGGCUGCUGCGACGGUGACGGCGAAAGGGAUCUCCGGCGACGGUCGGUGACGUCGGGGUUGGUGGAGGCGGUGCAGAGUGUGCGAGCGCUCGGGGCUCGUCUAGCUCGACGGAGCGGACGACGACAGAGCUCGUGGACACGGUGGAGCGACGCGAGGACGACGAUGGGCGCGGCUACGGCAGCGGAACGAUGGCGGCUACUUCGGCCAUGGCGGGAGAGGGCGAGAGAGGAUAGGGGGGAGAGUGGGGUGUCCAGGGGCUCGGGACGGCGCCGAGAAGGCCCUUCAAGGCGUCGCGAUGGCGCGGGCGACGCAGGCAGGCAGGGAGGUGGCGUGGCAAGCUCGGUGGCGUUGCGUUGUCCCUCCUCUGCCUACUGGCAGAGGUAGGUGGUGACUGGCACGGGCCCGCCAGGUAAGUGGCCUCUGGCCUUUCUCUCUCUCUCCCCUUUUUCAUUUAAUUUGCUUUUCUAUUUUUCUAUAAAUGUUGGGCUUUAUUAAAAAUACUAAAACGUUUUUAAAAAUCCUGCAAAUAAUUAUGGGCUCUGUUGGGAUUAUUCCUAAGAGCCCUCACUUAAAUCCAGAAUUAUUUGGGCACUUGGAUUAUUUUAUAGCAUUUAAAUGCCCAAAUGCAAAUAGAUAAAGAAUCAAUCCAGUGACCUUAAUUGUCCUAGAAAAAUGUGAACCAAUUUUAGCAGAGGUUCUGGACCAAGGCAAAAAUGAUGGAUAUUUUAGAAGGGCAUUUCAGGUUCAUUGAAAUUAUUUUUAGUAAACCCUAGUUGAUUUCAGGGGGCUGGGGGUUCUGUCAUCCCCAUUUCCAGUUUCUGAUGAAAGGUACACAUGAUGCAGCACUCUAAUGCAUGAACUAGCUAGGGUGUGACAGCACUGGUGAGGUGAUUGAAAACAUCUACGUGGCCUGGGCAACUCAAACAUAUAGUUAGUGGCGUGGCGCCCGUGUCGCGUCGUGCAAUGUCCUGCCUCUGCCUACUGGCAGUGGUAGGGGAUGACUGGCAUGCGGGCCGGCUGGGCUGGCUAGUGAGUUUCCUCUCUCUCUACUUUUUCCAUUUAGUUUUGUUUGUUAUUUUCUUUUCUCUGUUUUGAUUUGAUUUCAAACAGAAUCAUUUUGUAAAAUCCUGAAAUAAAUUGUGGACUCUUUCUGAAUUAUUCCAGUGGCCCUCAAUUAGGUUUGAAAUUAUUUGAGCAUUUAAAGUAUUUAUUGCAUGCCCAAAUUCAAAUACUUUAUGGCUUAAUUCAAAAAUCCAAAAGUGUCCGAAAAAUGUGUGGAUCAUUUUUGGCAGAGGUUUGCACCUUUUUCAAAAAUCAUGAACUUUUAUGAAGGGCAUUUUGGAUUCAUUGAAAAUAUUUUUAGCUGAUCCUAUUAUUUUCGAAGGGUUUGUUGGAUCCCCAAUUCAAAAUUCAAGAAAAUUUAAACAUGAUGCACAUGCAAGACUAGCCCAAGUGCAAAGCUAAACUAGGGUUGUGACAUGUAUCAUCUGAAUUUUUUCCUCAACAGAACUCUAAAUUCAAUUUCAGUAAAAUACAACCUACUGUGAGUGACAUGCGGGCGUUGACCUCACUAUUACUCUUACAGUUCGCAUGACAAGAAAAAAUGAUUGACAUUUUGACAACAACAAAAAGGCAAAUAAAACGCAUAAAAACUCACAAAAUUCCAACAGCAGACAGUCCUAUUAACAGAGUCUGGUGGCAGGAACCCGCUGGUUUCUUAUACCGUAGUAAGAAAGCAAAAGGGAAGGAAAUAGUCUAGCAAUAUGUUGUGUGAGAGUUUCUGUGCUGCUUUUGUGAGCGUUUUUUAUUAGUGAGAAAGUAAUAUCGUGUGAGGAGAUCCUUUUGCACUCCUUUCACCUCAGCGUGUUUUCCGAUUCCAUUUUAAUCUGGGCUCUGUUAUUGGCCUUUUUCUGUGAGAAAUGAAAUUAUGUGUAAGCUAAAAGCUCAGGUUUUGUUGUUCUUUUAACCCAAAGCUCAGGUUUUGUUGGCACGCGAGGGUGGUGGAAAUGGAAUAACAUAAAUUACAUUCAUAAGCAUUGUUGUGCAAACAGCUAAAAGUGACGGUGAUCCGAGCUAGAUUAUUUACCAUUUGACCGAUAGACCAUGACGGACUUUUUGCGCAUCAUGAUCUGGCGAGGGACAUGCACCAUCUGAGCGGCCUGCAGAUGUAACAUUAGCAGCGAUGUCACAAGGUAAGCACCAGAAAUUAUUCCUUACUGUAACAAAGCAGAAGAAAAACAGCCCGUGAUCUGACAUUAGCUAUGCGCAAGCAGACGCUUUCGGAUUUCUAUUUUCCAGGCGCUUCUAAAGGGAGAGUGCAUGAUGUGGAAAACUCACGAAAAAGUUGGCAUCCAUAGCAUAAACGCAAGGUAAAUAACUAGGAUUGUUUUGGAAGAAAGAUCGGGAAAUCUUUGCUUGCCUUGAGGCGGAGCAGCAACGGCGGCGGACUGCCUCCUUCCUACGUCGCAUGAUUCCAUUCAUCCGAGGGAGCAUGAGGGCGUCGCUCAUGGUGCACAGAAGCAGCGCUGCCGCCGCCCCUCGAUCGGUCGACCGACGGCUCGCCGGCGUUCGCCGGUGCGCCGUGCCCCUGCAAGACCGCCGCCUCCUGCGGGAGACACCCGUCCGCAAGACGGAGAGAGCCUUUUUUUUUUUGAGACAAGCAAGACGGAGAGAGCCGUGUGCUGGCGAUGGAGCCGGGCUACG